CAAUGCAGACCUCCACCAGAAAAUUCAGGCACAGCAUAGCAUCUUGUCCGCAAGGUUGAUCAACGUAGCCCAGAUUUUACCGUUCUGAGGCGUUUUGUAAGGAAUCUCUAGCAUGUUAGCUUGUGUUAUUCUUGGAAGCUUCAAUAUGUGCGUGUGGUGUCAAUAGCCCGCUGCUCGCAGCAUCUAUACAGGUGCUCUCAGAAGUCUUGCUAUCUACCACGGUGUAGUUGAGCCUAUCUUUUAAACUACUACAAAGUAACUUACCAGUGGCAGGUUGGAAUUCCCGAAUUUAUGCACGAAGAAUUAAAUGAAUAUUAUGCUGAGAAAGCAAAAGGGGCCUUUACCAGAUCUCAGGUUAAAUGGUUGGAAUCUGGGGAAAACAACUCAGCAUACUUCUUUGACUUGGAAGAAAGGUUUCAUCACAUUAAAAGGAAAAAAAAGGCUUCAGUUGAUCCUCCUGGUUAAAUAAAGGUCAAUUAAAAAUCUCAUCCCUGACCCCAUUAUGUUCAGUUCUUCGCCAUUUCACCUGCAAAAAUGCAAUUAUUUCUUUGUCCACCAGAUGUCGACACAACUUCAAGUUUGUUAGAUUCCAAUCUAGAACAUGUAGUCCUUUAACUGCAGUGAACACGCCUACCCAUCUAUGUGUUACGAGCAAGAAUCCAUAAGUAAAAAACAAAAAACACAGCAUUCAUGUGUUGUAUAGCCUUAUUACAUUGUGUGCCGUUUUUUUGUAGAGUACAUGUAUUUGUAUGUUUGUAUGUUGUAACAUGCUAUUUGUAUGUUAAGACAUAUUUGUGUGUGACUGUAGUGCACACCCAUAUGUUUGUAGAAAAAAGGUUAGCGACCACUAGCCUUUCAGCAGACUGAAGUU
This is a long non-coding RNA of Megalops cyprinoides (Indo-Pacific tarpon), 871 nucleotides long. RefSeq lists it as uncharacterized. Lineage: Eukaryota; Metazoa; Chordata; Actinopteri; Elopiformes; Megalopidae. The record is from RefSeq and is a predicted model, not a curated record. The transcript has 3 exons.